Molecule: long non-coding RNA, 3721 nt
Filed under: Triticum aestivum (bread wheat)
Lineage: Eukaryota; Viridiplantae; Streptophyta; Magnoliopsida; Poales; Poaceae
Description: long non-coding RNA (TAES_LNC011665)
Source: RNAcentral
GUACAGAUUGUACCAUACCAUGAGCGAUGAGACAAUUCCCAAAAAACUAACGCAUGUAGCAUGCAGGUACAAUAUCCUCAAACAAAUCCAAACUAUCAUCAAUAAUGUUCAAAGAUUCAAUCGCUGCAAACAUAAUAUCUCUCUUUCCAUCGUGCAAACUUGGUAAACUCAGCCAUCCCUAAACUACCUCCCGAUGCAAUGCUUCCACGGCGUCAGAGGUUCAUUAUCCUCUAGGUUUUAGGGUACAAUUUCUACAUCAUCUUCCUUUGGCGAACAACACUUUGAGAUCAACUUUUCCCAACCAGUGGCACUUAAGAAUUGUCUUCCUCCAGCGGGCACAAGCAAGCUCCGUCGAGCAAUCAGACCAUAUCAAGUAAGUACAAUCUGAAAAGCCUCAGAGGUUCAUUGUCCUCUAGGUUUUAGGGUACAAUUUCUACAUUAUCUUCCUCUGACGAACAACACUUCGAGGUCCACUUCCAACAACCAGUGGCACUUCGGAAUUGUCUUCCUCCAGCGGGCACAAGCCAGCUCCGUCGAGCAAUCAGACCAUAUCAAGUAAGUACAAUCUGCAAAAAAAUAGAUGAGGCAUGUUAAUAGAUCAAUUAUAGUUCAAUUAUGCUCAAGCAACGCUCAUCUAACAAGAUUUCACAUGUUACCUCAGAAGGUUGAUUAUGUAGAAUUCUAUAUGUGUGGGUUCCUAUCUUAAUGGUGUAGCGUUCAUGCUUUUUACUCAGCUAGAGAAGGCUGAUGUCAUGAAUGGUGCAUCCAGUGUAUUCACGUUAAGGUGGUAUACUAUAAAUUAGAAUUAUACUACAACUAUAACAGAAACAAGUGGGAUUGCCUGCUGCGACAUAGAGUAACAUAUAUGGUACGUCAGAUGGUUUUCAUAUUAUAGAUCAGACCUCUUAAGGGAUCAAUAAUACUUCAAUUAUAUUGUUGGCAGUGCUAAUCUUAAAAGAUUAGACAUGUUACCUCACAAGGUUUGUUAUGUAGAAACAAACGAAACUAUGAAGUGUAUUCUACAUUAAGUAAUGCAAUUAUAUAGGUACGGGUUCCUAUCUUAAUGGUUGCACGUUCAUAUCUUAAUGGUUGCAACUUGCACAUUCAUACUUUUAUUCAUCUACAGAAAGUUGAUCCCAUGGAUGUUGGUUCGAGUGUAUUCAUGUUAAAGAUAAUAUACUCUAGAAGACGAGAUCCAUACUACAGCUUCAACAGAAACGAAUGGGGUUGCUUGCUGCAAUAUAGAGAAACAUAUAUAGAUGGUUUUCAUAUUUGACCAACCUCAAAUUCGAUAGUGGGUUCCUGUCGUAAUGCCAGCAGCUACAUCUGAAACAAAAAUUUCAGACCAGCUGUUAAUAAAAUUGUAUUUAUUAAUCUACUAUGAUUUCAUAUAUCUAUUCCAGUCUAAAAAAUCUUCAAUCUUUUUUGUUGUCACACAAUCACUGGGGGCAGUUGCAACAAUAUUUUUCCGUAAUUAUAAAGCUUGCAUGGCAUUAUAUUACUUUACCAAUCAACUUUAAGUUCUUAUACUUUUAGGGCCUGAAAGACUAUGGCACCUACACCAUUGAAUGCAUUGACUACACGAAACGAGACAUGGACAAUCAAAGUUGUAAGACUUUAGGACACAAUUAACUUAUUGACUAAUGAACUCAUUAGCACUGAUUGAUUUUUCUAUAUAAGGUGCAAGUAUUACAUAUAUAAUGUCUCUUUAGUUUUCCUUUACCAAAAUUUGCUAAUGUUUUAUCUCUAUGUAGGGCAAUGUGAUCCAUGCUUCUAUUGGGAGCAAACUGGUCAAUAAAUUUAAAGCAAAAAUUAAAGAGGACUCCAUCUACAUAGCUAAGACCUUCAAAGUCUGGAAGUAUGAAAAAUAUCGACCAUUGAAGAACAAUCUUAAAAUCAGUUUCUUUUUAUACAACAGUGAAGGAAGUGGAUGGAGAAAAAUCCAAGUUUUUAGACUACCACUUUGAAUUUGCUGAUAGUGAUACCUUGUAGAGUAGGGUGAAUAUAGAUAAACAGUGCUUAGGUAUGAACCAAUGUAUCAAAUAGCGGGCUAUGCCAAAUAGCAGCAGUCCUUCACAUCAGCUAUAGUGGGGCUAUAGUUGGCUAUUUCAUAUUAAAGGAAUCUACAAGAGUGCAUGGAAUAUUUUAAAGCGAGCUUCACUUUUGAAGUUGACAACAAACUUGAGAUGGAAUAUUCAAAUGAAAUAGUUGAAGAGGUAUGCACAUGCACAUUUUAGUAUUUUAAAUGGUUUAUGAACUUAUAAAGUCAGUACGUUCUUUAUAGGGCAUACUGGAAAGGUAAGAUACACAGGGUUCUUCAAAUUCUAUUACACAGAAGUCAUAUAAUGAGGUAUUGCCACUAACUAAUGGUUUAGCUAUCACAAGUGUGCACAUUUUUCUUUAAAAUAUUAAAAAAAUAAAAAUUAUCGGGCAACCACUCUUCCAAGACUGCGACAAAAGAUGAGAAGAAAGAUAUGUGCAGAAAGGUAACUUCUAAAUCAUCUAACAAAAAACAACAAUGGAGGACAAAGAGACAGAAGUCUAUCAAAAAUAUGAAAAAGAUGUGUCAAUGUUUGCUUCCAGAAAUAGCAGAAAACCAAUUGUUAAAACUGAAGCUCCUGAUGACAAGGUAACAAAUUGAAAACAUUGUCACCCUGUAUAUGCAUUAAUAGUUUUUACGGUGUAUUUAUUUAUGACAUCACAAACCACACAGGCAGAGGCAAAAACUGUUUCGCAGAAGAUAAAACGAGAGACAAAACGUAAGAGAUGUAAACAGGAUUUGAAAAGAAAGGCUUCGUGAAAUAACAUAAAGUUCUUAUAGAGAAAAAUCUGUUCGAUAGGUAUUCGUUCAAAUUAUUUUCCCUCUUCUGUAUAUAUUAAUACUACUAUUAUUUCAUGAUGCCACCGACAAAAAACUGGAAAAUCUAUUUGACAAGGAGGUACGGAACAUUUGAGCUGCAGGUUCAAAUAUAAUUACCAAAGAGGAUGAUUCAGAUAAAGAUUGCGAACAAAACUAUACACAUGUCAAAAGGACCUACCGACGAGAAACCAUGAAGAGUUGUGAAAAGAAACAAAUCUAGCAGUGAGGUCAAAAGUACAUACUUUCUUGUAUUGUUUUUAAGAUAAACACAAAGUUCCAUUCCGUGUUCUAAUUUGGAUUAGUAUAAAUUAAUAUACCGAUAUAGUACUAAUUUUGAUUGGUAUGUCUGCUCAUACAUAUAAGUAAAUUUUAAAUUUUUCAUGAACUUAUUACUAGCUACUGUGUACUACCUUAUUCAACAGUUAUAGAGCACUUACAAAAAAACAUAUGUUUUUCCGAGAUUAGAAAGAAAAAUUAUGAAAUGUUUACCACUAAAAGUCAUUUCGUUGAUUACAUUAUAUUGUUUCAACCGCACAACCAUAGGAAAAAGAUAAGAAAAAGGGGAUAAAUUACAGAGUCAGAAAAGGAAAAAUAGGGACCUUCAGGUCGAACUUUGAAGAAUGUUACCACUAUGAAGGAUUAGGAUGAUGUGCCGGGCUACCUCGAGCAGAAAUUGAAACGAUGUGUCUGCUUUACGCACUUGUGAAAGAAAACGUAGCCAGCAAUCUCAUACUCAAGCUACAUGCAAGAGGGCUGCAGGUCCGCAGGAGAUGAAAUCAACGACCAAAGAGAUUACACGGACGCCGCCGCCGCCCUUUACAAGCCUAGGCGACCGAAGAGGCGUAGGAGGACAAACACAAG